GCCCUUGUAGCUCAACGGAUAGAGCAUCUCCCUUCUAAGGAGGAGAUGACAGUUCGAUUCUGUCCAAGGGCA
Molecule: transfer RNA, 72 nt
Filed under: Candidatus Microgenomates bacterium
Lineage: Bacteria; Candidatus Microgenomatota
Description: tRNA-Arg
Rfam family: tRNA
About the family: Transfer RNA (tRNA) molecules are approximately 80 nucleotides in length. Their secondary structure includes four short double-helical elements and three loops (D, anti-codon, and T loops). Further hydrogen bonds mediate the characteristic L-shaped molecular structure. tRNAs have two regions of fundamental functional importance: the anti-codon, which is responsible for specific mRNA codon recognition, and the 3' end, to which the tRNAs corresponding amino acid is attached (by aminoacyl-tRNA synthetases). tRNAs cope with the degeneracy of the genetic code in two manners: having more than one tRNA (with a specific anti-codon) for a particular amino acid; and 'wobble' base-pairing, i.e. permitting non-standard base-pairing at the 3rd anti-codon position.
Source: RNAcentral